GUGCGCGUGUGUUUACGAGCAAAACUUUUGUCCUUCGUUGAGGGGUUAAAGGCCGAGCGAGAGCAGAGAGACGCGGGGAGAGAUGCGCUCCGGGGCCGCUUCUCUCCGAUCGAUCAGUCGAGCCUGUUAAACAGCCGGCGGAACGGCGACGGUUUAACCACUUUACCUGGAAUAACGUCUCCGACUGCCCAAGCUUAUCACGCGUCGUUUCAGGCGGCGACACGAGGCAAGGCAAAAUAUUCGUUUUGAGAAAUCCUGCAGUGAAAGGUCUCCAACGGAAUCGUCGAGAUUAACUCUCUUAGAGACACCCGACGACCGACGACCGACGCGACGUGUCGACAUAUGUAUAACACAGUGGUUAAUUUUUUAAGGUAACGCACAAAAUGAAAUUGCAUUUUAAAUAGCUUUUACUCCUCGUAGUUAUAGCGACUUCCUCGCUUUUAAGCGUAUUCGUGUUGUUCCACAUUAAAUAAAUGUGCGAUUCUUAUAUGGGUGCAUUAUUUAUAUAAACACUGUUAAAGUUUAUUCAUUGUGAGAAAGAAACAUCAAAUCGGAUAUAUCACGAUUUAAUCUUCUGUACGAGUAUGUAAUACAAGAAGAAAUCUAUAACAUACAUAACAUAAAUGCAAUUUUCUUUUAUAUAUCUGCUGCCUUAUAUUUUUCUAUAUUGUUUUCUCUAAAUUUAUUCAAAUUCUGUAAACAUUUUUUUUGUAACCUGACACUUUCAGUAGCGAAAUUCAGUAAUAAAGAAAGAUCGUUACAAUCCAACGAUCUUUCUUUCAUAAAUUUUAUCAGAAAUUUAGAAAAAACCGAUAUAUGCAAUCUGUCAACAGCAAAAUAUUGGUAUUAUUAUCAUUUUACGACAUACUUGGUUUUUUGUAUUAUGCGUCAUGCGAACCAACUUCAAUCGAUUAUAUAAUUAAAUUUAUUAUCUAUAACUAUAAAGCAUUAUGUAAUACGGAAAAGAGAUACGAGCUGAAUAAUUGUUGGAUCAUGAGAAAUCUCUAUUCUCAAAUAUCUGAAUGAAAAUCGCAUUCUAUAAAAAUAUCGUGCUCUUGCACCUGAAUCUGUUUUACCCGCCGCAUCGUCGAUACGCUUCUCUCGCCUCAUUCCCUCAUCUCCAACUCAUCGUUCGCUUUUGCAUUUUUUUUCUCAUCAAAAACGUUUUCACCGAAUAGCGCCGCGCGCCGCGCGCCGGAGAGCGUGCGCACAGCUUUUACGCAGAACACUCGGCGCAUUUUACAUCCCUGCGGCAACGAUGGAAAUUCAUCGCAUAGACUUACAUAAAUAUUUCCAUUACAGUUCUUUUCACUCUUUUAUCUUUGUUUCUCUCUCUUUCUCAUUUCUUUUCCUCUUUUACUCUUUUCAACAUGCUGUGGUAGAUACUCUUCGACUAUCGGAUACGUCACUUUUAAUUAACGUUGUCGCGCGUCAUUCGGAGCGAUUUAUUCCAAGUUGAAAUUAACGAUUGGACAAUCGUGCUUUCGUGCCGCGAGAAAAUGAGAAGAGAGAGAGAGAGAGAGAGAGAGAGACGAAGAGGAAGGAGAAGAAGAAGAAAGGCAGAGAGCGAACAAAAAAGUUAUACAAGACGAUUGUAAAACUAUAUUAUUGAUGUAAAUAAUUAUUUAUUUAUGACACAAUAAAUAUGUAAUUUAUAGUUGUUACACGCGUGCUGCAAUAUCACGUAUCUCUUGGCGAAUACGAAUUAAUUUAUUACAUUUUCUGCUAGUAUGUAUUCUGUGUCACCAAAAUAUACGAUGAAAAACGACAGCAGUAAUAAUAAUGGCAAAAAACGUGAAUAGAUUGUAAUGAUACUUGCGCAUUUUAGCGAAUUAUUUGUUUGUUUAGUGACAAGUAUAUUUUUACAAACUAACAUAAUAUAAAUUGACACAACAUAAAUUGACACGACUCAAACGAAAAUCAGUAAAAAAUUGAACGUUGCAUCGUUGAAACUAAACUAAUAUAAGUAUACAUAUUAGUCAAAUUAUAUCACACAAUGAUACAAUUAAAAUUCAAUUUUAAUUAAGAAUUAUUUUUCUCUCCGUUAAAGGAUAUCGCUAUUCUGCGGACCGUAAAAUGUACAAGAAGAAGAAAAAUGAUUUUUUUUUAUAUUCACAACUAAUUUCAUCAAAUAUUUAAAAUCAAAACAUGUCAAAUAUGACGGAUAGUUCGCUUAAGCAAGAGUAUCGAUAUUGUCAUUGUGAUGUGAUGUGAUGUGCGAUUUCUAUGCAAAACCAAUGUGAAUGAAUUCCCGAGAGUCCUUGGGACAAGAACGAGUCGGAAUUGAAACAAUAUCAUAUUAUAGAACCAGUGGCACGUCCUUGAUUCGUUUCAAUUAGGCCAAUGUUUCAUAGCCUAUUAACGCAUUCAUGAUCGAGGUAUGAGGAAUCGCUCUGUUUUUCUAAUAAAUAUUCAAUUAACUUUAUCCGCGAUUGCAUAACUCUUCAUCGAUCGCAGAAUACUAAACUCGGCCGCAGAAUGAUUUAAUCAUUUAAAUUAAACUCUUAUUUCUGUUGUUUCUUUUACCUAUUUUGCACAUUGAAAUAAAAAAUUAAAAAAAUAGAUCCAACCCAUCUUUUCAGAUACUAAAAGUUUACCUCAUCACAUUAGAAGGUUAAAAGAGAGCUUUAAAUUAAAUAUCUACCCAAGAUAUAAAAUUCACUUAAAAUUAACAAAAAACAAGUGAAUAUUUUAAUUUUUAAAUUUAUUCAGUCUGAGAAGGCGUUUUAUUUUCAUGUAAUAAUUGUUCAUUAUUCGAAAAUGAGUAGCUGAAAGAAAAUUGAAUUUUCAAAGAAUUUAUGAAAAAGGAAUAUAGAGAUUUGUGAGAUUUGUACAAUUUUUACUGGAGUGGCAUGUACAAACGGACAUCUUUUUCGCUCGUGUAAUACUAUCAUCCGGCGCUUGGUCCUGUUCGUCGCGUCGCGUCGCGUCGCGUCGCGUAGCGUCACGUCGUUAAAAUCAUGAAGAAAAUAUCAUUUUUCGCAGGAGGAGGUAACCUGGCGCGUUCACGUAUGCGUGCACUUUUCGUGAUUUUCCAUCUCUUUUUACAUUUUAAACUAUCCUUUUGAUGCAAACUUUGGCAAUCCAGCUGUUGAAAGUUCUAGAACCAUUUAUCAGGGUACUUUUUUGUUUUUAUUUCUCUUUUUUUACGGUUACUCGUGCGACCGUCCGCAUAGCAUCUUUUUUUACGUAACGCUCGGUCAAAAGCGAAGUAACGUGAAAGUAGCUCAGGAAAUAAAUAUUCCGUCCGCAUGGAGGGAUUAUACGAGACCGCGGGUCACGUAUAAAAGUCGACGACCCCGAUGAAAUCUCGGAAGAAAUGGCAAAACUGUUUUCAUAUCACGAUACUCCUUACGAUUGUGCGAAAAUUUAUAUAAGAUUGUUUCACACGUUCAUCCUUGAGCAUAUAUUUUUGAAUGCUUAAACUGUACAUAAGUGUAAAGCUGUGUUUACGAGCAGAUAUACAUUUAACUCGUAUUUAUUUCAAGCUCACGGAUCAUUCUUAAAAAAAAAA
This is a long non-coding RNA of Solenopsis invicta (red fire ant), 3514 nucleotides long. RefSeq lists it as uncharacterized. The transcript has 2 exons. The record is from RefSeq and is a predicted model, not a curated record. NCBI's taxonomy places the organism in Eukaryota, Metazoa, Arthropoda, Insecta, Hymenoptera, Formicidae.